Molecule: ribosomal RNA, 497 nt
Filed under: uncultured bacterium
Lineage: Bacteria
Description: partial 16S ribosomal RNA
Rfam family: Bacterial small subunit ribosomal RNA
Source: RNAcentral
GACGAACGCUGGCGGCGUGCCUAAUACAUGCAAGUAGAACGCUGAAGCUUGGUGCUUGCACCGAGCGGAUGAGUUGCGAACGGGUGAGUAACGCGUAGGUAACCUGCCUGGUAGCGGGGGAUAACUAUUGGAAACGAUAGCUAAUACCGCAUAAGAGUAGAUGUUGCAUGACAUUUGCUUAAAAGGUGCAAUUGCAUCACUACCAGAUGGACCUGCGUUGUAUUAGCUAGUUGGUGAGGUAACGGCUCACCAAGGCAACGAUACAUAGCCGACCUGAGAGGGUGAUCGGCCACACUGGGACUGAGACACGGCCCAGACUCCUACGGGAGGCAGCAGUAGGGAAUCUUCGGCAAUAGACGGAAGUCUGACCGAGCAACGCCGCGUGAGUGAAGAGGGUUUUCGGAUCGUAAAGCUCUGUUGUAAGAGAAGAACGAGUGUGAGAGUGGAAAGUUCACACUGUGACGGUAUCUUACCAGAAAGGGACGGCUAACUACGUG